This 136-nucleotide non-coding RNA is filed under the name Pteridomonas danica. Lineage: Eukaryota; Dictyochophyceae; Pedinellales. The record is from RNAcentral.
GUAUUAAAAAUGAAAGAAUGGAUAAAAGAAAAAAUGACAUAUUUACCCCUUGUUGUUGAGCACCUCUCUCUUUCUUUCUCUCUCGCUUAGUUGUUGUUGAGUUUUGCUUUUCUUCUAUUUUUCCCAUCCUAUGCCA